GCCUUAUCACGUGACGUAUAGGAUAGGUUACAAACUGAAAGAGAAGUAAAUUACGUACUUUGAUAAAUCACGGAUUCGAGCUAAAAGAGAAAUUGCAAUACGAGUUUAUCAUUGAAAGAUGGCGGUUAGUUUCUGUGUCUUGCUGUUAGUUUGUGCAGUAAUGAUCAAUGGUGAACAAUUCAUCUGGACAUCUCCUACAGAGGAUGGUUUGAUGCAGGUCAAGGAAGGGGAAGAUAUUUCGUUACUAUGGGGAUAUCAAGCAGACUCGUCGUCAAGCAUGGUUCUAAUUAAAACAGAGGAUGUAGUAAUCGGUCAUUGGUUUGAAAAACAAAACAAUUUCACAAUAUUUCCUGUUUUUCAAGGAAGAGUCAUGUUUGAAAGAACGGUCAUCAAACAAGAUCAUCCAGGAUUUUACGCAGAAAAGAUCGAGUUGAAGUUGAUGAAAGCUCAUAGAAAUGAUUUAAAUGUACCGUACACCUGUCAACUCAUCCUUAAAAACUCGAUUGUUAAACAGAAGGACAUCAAAGUGGGUUGUCCAGGCUCGUCAGAUGUAGGAGCCGUCGAUAGACCUAUGUAUGAAAUAGCCCGACCCAAUGUUAAUUUGUUCCGCAUACUUGCUCCCAUAGUUUUUGGUGUGUUGCUCAUUGCUCUGUGUGUCGUUGUUGUCGGGUGUUUCUUACAGAGGAAACGCAGAAGCGACAGGUCUCGAAUCUUCAGACUUGAUCAGGAAAAGGUGAUGAUGAUGUAUAACAACAAGAGCAACAAUGAGGGGCCGGUUUAUUUACCCUCGAGAAACAAGAAAUUUGGUAAGAUGGGUGACCAAGGCGUGAGGUUGAUUUAAUUAGUUGUUUUCAAAUAUCAUGAACACAAACAUUGCUUGAUUAUUUUUAUGUUAAAGUUUUUUUGAGGAAACAUGUUGUAAUUUCAUAUUGUAAACUGGCAGCUAUUUAGUAACUUUACAUAUUGUUUUGUAUUACUAUAUUAUAUUUGUUUGAUAAAUUUAGUAAUUUCUGCCAGUCUGUUAUUUUCGUUCAAUCUAAAUUUUAUUUUUGUAUUAAACACAUUUAACAAAAAAAGGCUUUUCGGUAUUGGUGUUUGUCUAAAAAAAUUUUUGUAAAAAAAUAAUGAGAGGAAAUAAACAGCCAAUGAGAGUGCAAAAUGCUGGUUAGCGCGGAAGGCUAAAGUCAUGCAAGGUAGGCCGGUCUGUUUUAGCACCGAAUCCGGAAUCCCGAAUAACGUGCUGACUAGUAAUUCGUUAUUCACGAAUCAAGAAUAACGAGCUGGCUCGUUAUUCGUUAUUCGAAUCCCGAAUCCCGAAUAACGUGCCAACUUUACGUUGCCAAAGUCACUUCAUUCUAACCCAAUCAGCUAUUUGAAUGAUGCAUUCGUGGUGAUAUUUUCUAAUUACACUUUCGGUUAUUUCGUUGUUUUCCGGACAGUUUUACUCGCUUUUAAAAUGCAUUUUGGCGAAGUAUAGAAAUGAAGAAUUGCAAAUUCCUUUGAUCUAUCGAAAAGAAAUUUUCACCCACCACUAGGUGAAAUAAGACACUGGAUCAAUUUUCCGAAUUUAACACUUUAUUUAACACUGUUGCUAGGUACCGAGAGAGGUAAGUCACGUGACACAAACAUGACCUCUUUUGAUCGAUUUUUUAUAGCCAGGGUAUUCCCCGACAAUUGCAAUGUUUUGAAAAGGAUUUGAAGCAAAUUUAUGAUAAAUCAAUUAGUUUGAAUAUGUUUUUAGUCCAAAGCCUGUCAUUGAGUCAACUGGCGUGGUUUCGAAUCCCCGGUUGUACGUGGCAAGGAGUAGGGUCGCCUGUCCAACCUCGUGGGUUCUUUCCGGGUCCUCCCGUUUCCUCCCACUGCUAAAGACCCCUACGCGCAAGCGAAUUCUUGAAAUAAAAUUAAACCAAAAUGACCUAGUUUGUGUCGAGUGGACGUUAAACCCAAUCUCUCUCUCUCUAUCAACAUGUACAAUUUGAAUAAAGGAAUAAAGACAAUCAAAAUCCC
This is a long non-coding RNA of Patella vulgata (common limpet), 2007 nucleotides long. RefSeq lists it as uncharacterized. Lineage: Eukaryota; Metazoa; Mollusca; Gastropoda; Patellidae. The record is from RefSeq and is a predicted model, not a curated record. The transcript is spliced from 8 exons.